GACGAACGCUGGCGGCGUGCUUAACACAUGCAAGUCGAACGGAAAGGCCCUGCUUUUGUGGGGUGCUCGAGUGGCGAACGGGUGAGUAACACGUGAGUAACCUGCCCUUGACUUUGGGAUAACUUCAGGAAACUGGGGCUAAUACCGGAUAGGAGCUCCUGCUGCAUGGUGGGGGUUGGAAAGUUUCGGCGGUUGGGGAUGGACUCGCGGCUUAUCAGCUUGUUGGUGGGGUAGUGGCUUACCAAGGCUUUGACGGGUAGCCGGCCUGAGAGGGUGACCGGCCACAUUGGGACUGAGAUACGGCGCAGACUCCUACGGGAGGCAGCAGUGGGGAAUAUUGCAAAGUGGGCGGAAGCCUUAUGCAGCAACGCCGCGUGCGGGAUGACGGCCUUCGGGUUGUAAACCGCGUUCGCCUGUGACGAAGCGUGAGUGACGGUAAUGGGUAAAGAAGCACCGGCUAACUACGUG
This 468-nucleotide ribosomal RNA is filed under the name uncultured bacterium. RNAcentral describes it as "partial 16S ribosomal RNA". It matches the Rfam family "Bacterial small subunit ribosomal RNA", at positions 28 to 507 of the family's 1533-position model. The record is from RNAcentral.